UUAGUGCAUGCUAUGUUAUAGGGAAACUUUUAUAUCAACUGGACAACCAGCAGUAUGCCACCUAAACAUUAAGAUCUUGAAGUUUUAGUUUCUGAUAUGUAAAAUGGAUAUAAAUUGGAGCUUUUAAAUUCUUCUUUGAAGAGAAAUGAAUAAUUUAAUUCUUAAUUGUUAAAAAAUUUUGUUUGUCUCUCUGUUGUGUGUUUUACAUCUUCAAGAAAGUACAUCAGUCUGAAACUACUUACGGAGCAUUGUGAAAUUAAUACAGAUCACUCGCCCUUCUAUGAGCCCAAAAGUAUGCUCAAAAUAAUGUCAGUUGUCUUAGGGGCUUUGAAUUCCAUUCGAAUCACUUUUUAUUACAACCACAUAUCUUUACAGAUGAAGAAAUUGAGGCCCACAAGGUUGAAGUGAUUUGGCCAAUGUCACACAGCUGAGAGAGACAGAGUAUGAGUGGGGGAGGGGCAGAGAG
This is a long non-coding RNA of Herpailurus yagouaroundi (jaguarundi), 466 nucleotides long. RefSeq lists it as uncharacterized. Lineage: Eukaryota; Metazoa; Chordata; Mammalia; Carnivora; Felidae. The transcript has 3 exons. The record is from RefSeq and is a predicted model, not a curated record.